GCAAGUUGUGAUUAGCCAUUUGAACCAUACCCGAUUGGAAAACGAAAACCCGAUUCGCAAAACACAUAAGUAGAAGAAAGAAGAACCUUUACUCUUCAAAGUUCAAACCUCACAAUCAAGAAAGCCCUAGAAUCAAAGUCCUUCACUUUUCUUGAAUAGCUUUGUUGAAAUGGAGAAGGAUCAGAAGGUAGCAACUGAAGACCCCAAGGUGGAUUUGUUCGAGGACGAUGACGAGUUUGAAGAGUUUAACAUCAAUCAAGAGUGGGACGAGAAAGAAGAAGGAAAAGAAGCACUGCAGCAAUGGGAGGAUGAUUGGGAUGAUGAUGAUGUCAAUGACGACUUCUCUGUGCAGCUGAAGAAAGAACUGGAGAGCAACACCGGGAAGUAGUUUCAUUAUGUUCGCUGUAUUUUCAGAUAUGGUCUGUCUUAAAAAGAUUGUAGUUCACUAAAAUACCAUCAUGUAGCUGGUUGCCAUCUAACAUUUAUCACUUGCUACAGUUGUUGCACUCUAGUAUGUUAAUGAUUUUCUUGUAUAUC
Long non-coding RNA from Rosa chinensis, 537 nucleotides. RefSeq lists it as uncharacterized. The record is from RefSeq and is a predicted model, not a curated record. The transcript has 3 exons. Lineage: Eukaryota; Viridiplantae; Streptophyta; Magnoliopsida; Rosales; Rosaceae.